GCCGGGAGUGGUGACGCGUGCCUGUAAUCCCAGCUACUCGGGAGGCUGAGGCAGGAGAAUCGCUUGAACCUGGGAGGUGGGGGUUGCAGUGAGCCGAGAUCGCACCACUGUGCUCCAGCCUGGGUGACAGAGCGAGACUCUGUCUCAA
Molecule: non-coding RNA, 148 nt
Filed under: Chlorocebus sabaeus (green monkey)
Lineage: Eukaryota; Metazoa; Chordata; Mammalia; Primates; Cercopithecidae
Source: Rfam by way of RNAcentral